GGACGCGUAGCUCAGCUGGUUAGAGCGCCCGCCUCACACGCGGGAGGUCCACGGUUCGAGUCCGUGCGUGUCCACCA
This 77-nucleotide transfer RNA is filed under the name Oscillospiraceae bacterium. RNAcentral's name for it is "tRNA-Val". It matches the Rfam family "tRNA". From Rfam's summary of the family: Transfer RNA (tRNA) molecules are approximately 80 nucleotides in length. The record is from RNAcentral. Lineage: Bacteria; Bacillati; Bacillota; Clostridia; Eubacteriales; Oscillospiraceae.